UGGGGAAUUUUGGACAAUGGGCGCAAGCCUGAUCCAGCAAUGCCGCGUGCAGGAAGAAGGCCUUCGGGUUGUAAACUGCUUUUGUACGGAACGAAACGGUCCUGGUUAAUACCUGGGGCUAAUGACGGUACCGUAAGAAUAAGCACCGGCUAACUACGUGCCAGCAGCCGCGGUAAUACGUAGGGUGCAAGCGUUAAUCGGAAUUACUGGGCGUAAAGCGUGCGCAGGCGGUUUUGUAAGACAGGCGUGAAAUCCCCGGGCUUAACCUGGGAAUGGCGCUUGUGACUGCAAAGCUGGAGUGCGGCAGAGGGGGAUGGAAUUCCGCGUGUAGCAGUGAAAUGCGUAGAUAUGCGGAGGAACACCGAUGGCGAAGGCAAUCCCCUGGGCCUGCACUGACGCUCAUGCACGAAAGCGUGGGGAGCAAACAGG
RNAcentral lists this ribosomal RNA (429 nucleotides) under Microvirga ossetica. RNAcentral's name for it is "partial 16S ribosomal RNA". It matches the Rfam family "Bacterial small subunit ribosomal RNA", at positions 355 to 776 of the family's 1533-position model. RNAcentral also lists the same sequence under 2 other names. The record is from RNAcentral. Lineage: Bacteria; Pseudomonadati; Pseudomonadota; Alphaproteobacteria; Hyphomicrobiales; Methylobacteriaceae.